RNAcentral lists this ribosomal RNA (620 nucleotides) under uncultured archaeon. RNAcentral describes it as "bacterial SSU rRNA". It matches the Rfam family "Archaeal small subunit ribosomal RNA", at positions 1 to 623 of the family's 1478-position model. The record is from RNAcentral.
UCCCGGUUGAUCCUGCCAGAGGUUACUGCUAUCGGUGUUCGACUAAGCCAUGCGAGUCAUAUGUUCUUCGUGAACAUGGCGGACUGCUCAGUAACACGUGGAUAACCUGCCCUUAGGUUCGGCAUAACUCCGGGAAACUGGAGAUAAUUCCGAAUAGGUCACAUAUGCUGGAAUGCUUUUUGACCAAAAGACCUCGGUUGCCUAAGGAUGGAUCUGCGGUCUAUCAGGUAGUAGUGGGUAUAACGUACCUACUAGCCUACGACGGAUAUGGGUUGUGAGAGCAAGAGCCCAGAGAUGGAUUCUGAGACAUGAAUCCAGGCCCUACGGGGCGCAGCAGGCGCGAAAACUUUACAAUGCGGGAAACCGCGAUAAGGGGACACCGAGUGCCAGCAUUUAUGUUGGCUGUCCACAUGUGUAAACGGCAUGUGUUAGCAAGGGCCGGGCAAGACCGGUGCCAGCCGCCGCGGUAACACCGGCGGCCCGAGUGGUAAUCACUUUUAUUGGGUCUAAAGGGUCCGUAGCCGGUUUGAUCAGUUCUUCGGGAAAUCUGACAGCUCAACUGUUAGGCUUCCGGGGAAUACUGUCAGACUUGGGACCGGGAGAGGUAAGAGGUACUACAG